RNAcentral lists this ribosomal RNA (1969 nucleotides) under human gut metagenome. RNAcentral's name for it is "bacterial LSU rRNA". It matches the Rfam family "Bacterial large subunit ribosomal RNA", at positions 1 to 1999 of the family's 2925-position model. The record is from RNAcentral.
UUAAGUGACUAAGCGUACAAGGUGGAUGCCUUGGCAAUCAGAGGCGACGAAGGACGUGCUAAUCUGCGAAAAGCUUGGAUGAGUCGAUAAGAGGCGUUUAAUCCAAGAUGUCCGAAUGGGGAAACCCAGUAGAUGAAGAAUCUACUAUCACUUACUGAAUCCAUAGGUAAGUGAGGCAAACCGGGAGAACUGAAACAUCUAAGUACCCCGAGGAAAAGAAAUCAACCGAGAUUUCGUUAGUAGCGGCGAGCGAACGCGAAGGAGCCUGUUAGUGAUAAUGACAGAGACAGAGGAACAAGCUGGGAAGCUUGGCGAUACAGGGUGAUAGCCCCGUACUCGAAGUCCAGGUCAUGGUACUAAGCUAACGAUAAGUAGGGCGGGACACGUGAUAUCCUGUUUGAAGAUGGGGGGACCAUCCUCCAAGGCUAAAUACUCCUGAUUGACCGAUAGUGAACCAGUACUGUGAAGGAAAGGCGAAAAGAACCCCGGUGAGGGGAGUGAAAUAGAACCUGAAACCUUGUACGUACAAGCAGUGGGAGCCCUUUAAGGGUGACUGCGUACCUUUUGUAUAAUGGGUCAGCGACUUAUAUUUUGUAGCGAGGUUAACCGAAUAGGGGAGCCGAAGGGAAACCGAGUCUUAACUGGGCGUCUAGUUGCAAGGUAUAGACCCGAAACCCGGUGAUCUAGCCAUGGGCAGGUUGAAGGUUGGGUAACACUAACUGGAGGACCGAACCGACUAAUGUUGAAAAAUUAGCGGAUGACUUGUGGCUGGGGGUGAAAGGCCAAUCAAACCGGGAGAUAGCUGGUUCUCCCCGAAAUCUAUUUAGGUAGAGCCUUGAGCGGACACCUUCGGGGGUAGAGCACUGUUUCGGCUAGGGGUCCAUCCCGGAUUACCAACCCGAUGCAAACUACGAAUACCGAAGAGUGAUACUCAGGAGACACACGGCGGGUGCUAACGUCCGUCGUGGAGAGGGAAACAACCCAGACCGCCAGCUAAGGUCCCAAAGUCUAUAUUAAGUGGGAAACGAAGUGGGAAGGCUUAGACAGCUAGGAUGUUGGCUUAGAAGCAGCCAUCAUUUAAAGAAAGCGUAAUAGCUCACUAGUCGAGUCGGCCUGCGCGGAAGAUGUAACGGGGCUCAAAUAUAGCACCGAAGCUGCGGCAUCAGACGAAAGUCUGUUGGGUAGGGGAGCGUUCUGUAAGCGGAUGAAGGUGAAUCGAGAGGUUUGCUGGACGUAUCAGAAGUGCGAAUGCUGACAUAAGUAACGAUAAAACGGGUGAAAAACCCGUUCGCCGGAAGACCAAGGGUUCCUGUCCAACGUUAAUCGGGGCAGGGUGAGUCGGCCCCUAAGGCGAGGCUGAAAAGCGUAGUCGAUGGGAAACGGGUUAAUAUUCCCGUACUUGGAUAAACUGCGAUGUGGGGACGGAGCAGGUUAGGUUAUCGCACUGUUGGAUAUGUGCGUUUAAGUUGGUAGGUGUGAAGUUUAGGCAAAUCCGGACUUCUUUAACACUGAGAGAUGAUGACGAGGCUCUACGGAGCUGAAGUAACCGAUACCACACUUCCAGGAAAAGCCACUAAGCUUCAGGUUUAUCUAAACCGUACUGAAAACCGACACAGGUGGUCAGGUAGAGAAUACUCAGGCGCUUGAGAGAACUCGGGUGAAGGAACUAGGCAAAAUAGCACCGUAACUUCGGGAGAAGGUGCGCCGGCGUAGAUUGUAGUCCCUUGCGGAUGAAGGUUGAACCGGUCGAAGAUACCAGCUGGCUGCAACUGUUUAUUAAAAACACAGCACUCUGCAAACACGAAAGUGGACGUAUAGGGUGUGAUGCCUGCCCGGUGCUGGAAGGUUAAUUGAUGGUGUAAUCGAAAGAGAAGCUCCUGAUCGAAGCCCCAGUAAACGGCGGCCGUAACUAUAACGGUCCUAAGGUAGCGAAAUUCCUUGUCGGGUAAGUUCCGACCUGCACGAAUGG